Molecule: ribosomal RNA, 422 nt
Filed under: uncultured archaeon
Lineage: Archaea
Description: partial 16S ribosomal RNA
Rfam family: Archaeal small subunit ribosomal RNA
Source: RNAcentral
CUACGGGUUGCUGCAGGCGCGAAACCUUUACAAUGCACGCAAGUGUGAUAAGGGGAUCCUGAGUGCUGAUGUUUAACAUUGGCUUUUUUCAAUGUUAAAACCAUUGAAGAAUAAGUGGUGGGUAAGACUGGUGCCAGCCGCCGCGGUAACACCAGCGCCACAAGUGGCGAUCAUGUUUAUUGGGCCUAAAGCGUCCGUAGCCGGUUUAAAAAAUCUCUUGUGAAAUUGUUGCGCUCAACGUAACAGCAUGCAAGAGACACUUUUAAACUAGAAACCAGGAAGAGUCAGAAGUACUCUAAGGGUAGCGGUAAAAUGUUAUAAUCCUUAGAAGACUACCAGUGGCGAAGGCGUCUGACUAGAAUGGAUUUGACGGUGAGGGACGAAAGCCAGGGGAGCAAACAGGAUUAGAUACCCCCGUAGUC